UACGUAGGGGGCGAGCGUUGUCCGGAUUUAUUGGGCGUAAAGAGCGUGUAGGCGGCUUGGUAGGUCCGCUGUGAAAACUCGAGGCUCAACCUCGAGAUGUCGGCGGAAACCACUUGGCUAGAGUCCGGAAGAGGAGAGUGGAAUUCCCGGUGUAGCGGUGAAAUGCGCAGAUAUCGGGAAGAACACCUAUGGCGAAGGCAGCUCUCUGGGACGGUACUGACGCUGAGACGCGAAAGCGUGGGGAG
RNAcentral lists this ribosomal RNA (245 nucleotides) under uncultured bacterium. Its description in RNAcentral is "partial 16S ribosomal RNA". It matches the Rfam family "Bacterial small subunit ribosomal RNA", at positions 524 to 768 of the family's 1533-position model. The record is from RNAcentral.